RNAcentral lists this unclassified non-coding RNA (298 nucleotides) under uncultured fungus. RNAcentral describes it as "sequence contains ITS1". The stretch from base 1 to 105 matches the Rfam family "5.8S ribosomal RNA", at positions 50 to 154 of the family's 154-position model. The record is from RNAcentral. Lineage: Eukaryota; Fungi.
GAAAUGCGAUAAGUAAUGUGAAUUGCAGAAUUCAGCGAAUCAUCGAAUCUUUGAACGCACAUUGCGCCUCCGGGUAUUCCUGGAGGCAUGCUUGUUCGAGCGUCGUUGACGCACAUGAGGCUUUGCCUUGCGAUGAGUCGUCGGUGUCCCUCGGGACGUCGACCGCUUCAAACCCGUAGGCGUCUGAAGUUGGCCAAAGCACAGCGAAAUGUGUCUGAAGGCGGACGGAGGGCUGCCGGAACACGAAACGAUUUUCUGAGUCGACCUCGGAUCAAGCAAGACUACCCGCUGAACUUAA